This 253-nucleotide ribosomal RNA is filed under the name uncultured bacterium. RNAcentral's name for it is "partial 16S ribosomal RNA". It matches the Rfam family "Bacterial small subunit ribosomal RNA", at positions 524 to 776 of the family's 1533-position model. The record is from RNAcentral.
UACGGAGGGGGCUAGCGUUGUUCGGAAUUACUGGGCGUAAAGCGCACGUAGGCGGCUUUGUAAGUUAGAGGUGAAAGCCCAGGGCUUAACCCUGGAAUUGCCUUUAAGACUGCAUCGCUAGAAUCGUGGAGAGGUGAGUAGAAUUCCGAGUGUAGAGGUGAAAUUCGUAGAUAUUCGGAAGAACACCAGUGGCGAAGGCGACUCACUGGACACGUAUUGACGCUGAGGUGCGAAAGCGUGGGGAGCAAACAGG